Molecule: ribosomal RNA, 369 nt
Filed under: uncultured organism
Description: bacterial SSU rRNA
Rfam family: Bacterial small subunit ribosomal RNA
Source: RNAcentral
CGAAGGGGGCGAGCGUUGUUCGGAAUUACUGGGCGUAAAGGGCGCGUAGGCGGCCGAUCAAGUCAGAUGUGAAAGUCCUGGGCUUAACCUGGGGACUGCAUUUGAUACUGAUUGGCUUGAAUGCAGGAGAGGAUAGCGGAAUUCCCAGUGUAGAGGUGAAAUUCGUAGAUAUUGGGAAGAACACCGGUGGCGAAGGCGGCUAUCUGGACUGUAAUUGACGCUGAGGCGCGAAAGCGUGGGGAGCAAACAGGAUUAGAUACCCUGGUAGUCCACGCCGUAACGAUGAAUGCUAGACGCUGGGGAGCAUGCUCUUCGGUGUCGCAGCUAACGCAUUAAGCAUUCCGCCUGGGGAGUACGGUCGCAAGAUUA